This 1346-nucleotide ribosomal RNA is filed under the name uncultured bacterium. Its description in RNAcentral is "bacterial SSU rRNA". It matches the Rfam family "Bacterial small subunit ribosomal RNA", at positions 28 to 1381 of the family's 1533-position model. The record is from RNAcentral.
GACGAACGCCUUCGGCGUGCUUAACACAUGCAAGUCGAACGGAAAGGCCCUGCUUUUGUGGGGUGCUCGAGUGGCGAACGGGUGAGUAACACGUGAGUAACCUGCCCUUGACUUUGGGAUAACUUCAGGAAACUGGGGCUAAUACCGGAUAGGAGCUCCUGCUGCAUGGUGGGGGUUGGAAAGUUUCGGCGGUUGGGGAUGGACUCGCGGCUUAUCAGCUUGUUGGUGGGGUAGUGGCUUACCAAGGCUUUGACGGGUAGCCGGCCUGAGAGGGUGACCGGCCACAUUGGGACUGAGAUACGGCCCAGACUCCUACGGGAGGCAGCAGUGGGGAAUAUUGCACAAUGGGCGGAAGCCUGAUGCAGCAACGCCGCGUGCGGGAUGACGGCCUUCGGGUUGUAAACCGCUUUCGCCUGUGACGAAGCGUGAGUGACGGUAAUGGGUAAAGAAGCACCGGCUAACUACGUGCCAGCAGCCGCGGUGAUACGUAGGGUGCGAGCGUUGUCCGGAUUUAUUGGGCGUAAAGGGCUCGUAGGUGGUUGAUCGCGUCGGAAGUGUAAUCUUGGGGCUUAACCCUGAGCGUGCUUUCGAUACGGGUUGACUUGAGGAAGGUAGGGGAGAAUGGAAUUCCUGGUGGAGCGGUGGAAUGCGCAGAUAUCAGGAGGAACACCAGUGGCGAAGGCGGUUCUCUGGGCCUUUCCUGACGCUGAGGAGCGAAAGCGUGGGGAGCGAACAGGCUUAGAUACCCUGGUAGUCCACGCUGUAAACGGUGGGUACUAGGUGUGGGGUCCAUUCCACGGGUUCCGUGCCGUAGCUAACGCUUUAAGUACCCCGCCUGGGGAGUACGGCCGCAAGGCUAAAACUCAAAGGAAUUGACGGGGCCCCGCACAAGCGGCGGAGCAUGCGGAUUAAUUCGAUGCAACGCGUAGAACCUUACCUGGGUUUGACAUGGAUCGGGAGUGCUCAGAGAUGGGUGUGCCUCUUUUGGGGUCGGUCCACAGGUGGUGCAUGCCUGUCGUCAGCUCGUGUCGUGAGAUGUUGGGUUAAGUCCCGCAACGAGCGCAACCCUUGUUCACUGUUGCCAGCACGUUAUGGUGGGGACUCAGUGGAGACCGCCGGGGUCAACUCGGGGGAAGGUGGGGAUGACGUCAAGUCCUCAUGCCCCUUAUGUCCAGGGCUUCACGCAUGCUACAAUGGCUGGUACAGAGAGUGGCGAGCCUGUGAGGGUGAGCGAAUCUCGGAAAGCCGGUCUCAGUUCGGAUUGGGGUCUGCAACUCGACCUCAUGAAGUCGGAGUCGCUAGUAAUCGCAGAUCAGCAACGCUGCGGUGAAUACGUUCCCGGGGCU